AUGGAGGCAACGAACACGGCAGCAGAAGUUGAUUCUCCCCAUCCUCUUGGCAACGGUCUGGUCCUCCUCGACUCAGCCAUGGCCCUCCCUUCCUCAUCGUCGUCUCCGAAGCCGGAGAAUAGUGGCAGAGGACUAUCGGGAAGCACCAAGGUGUUGAUAUGUCUGUGGCUGCUGGCGCUAUUUGUCCGGUCAUCUGAUGCAGAAGAGGUGGGACUGAAAGGCUGUGAGUUCAAUGACUGGAGCAAGACGUGGAACAAGAUAUGCGUGAAACGUGGCACUUGCAACACGCCCUGCAGAGCCGAGGGCUGGGAAAAAGGCGCAUGCUUCUUCAUCAAUCACUGCCUCUGCUACAAGAACUGCUCCCCGUCCCCGGCUACUUGA
RNAcentral lists this ribosomal RNA (381 nucleotides) under Triticum aestivum (bread wheat). Its description in RNAcentral is "partial small subunit ribosomal RNA". The record is from RNAcentral. Lineage: Eukaryota; Viridiplantae; Streptophyta; Magnoliopsida; Poales; Poaceae.